Molecule: microRNA, 21 nt
Filed under: Eptesicus fuscus (big brown bat)
Lineage: Eukaryota; Metazoa; Chordata; Mammalia; Chiroptera; Vespertilionidae
Description: efu-miR-9330
Source: miRBase by way of RNAcentral
GAUUUCCCCAACAGGGAGCUG